UACGUAGGUGGCAAGCGUUGUCCGGAUUUAUUGGGUUUAAAGGGUGCGUAGGCGGCUUUGUAAGUCAGUGGUGAAAUAUGGCAGCUUAACUGUCAAGGUGCCAUUGAUACUGCAGAGCUUGAGUACAGAUGAGGUAGGCGGAAUUGACGGUAUAGCGGUGAAAUGCUUAGAUAUCGUCAAGAACACCUAUAGCGAAGGCAGCUUACUAAGCUGUAACUGACGCUGAGGCACGAAAGUGUGGGGAUCAAACAGG
This 253-nucleotide ribosomal RNA is filed under the name uncultured bacterium. RNAcentral describes it as "partial 16S ribosomal RNA". It matches the Rfam family "Bacterial small subunit ribosomal RNA", at positions 524 to 776 of the family's 1533-position model. The record is from RNAcentral.